RNAcentral lists this ribosomal RNA (503 nucleotides) under uncultured bacterium. RNAcentral's name for it is "partial 16S ribosomal RNA". It matches the Rfam family "Bacterial small subunit ribosomal RNA", at positions 30 to 523 of the family's 1533-position model. The record is from RNAcentral.
AUUGAACGCUGGCGGCAGGCUUAACACAUGCAAGUCGAGCGGAGUGAUGGUGCUUGCGCUAUCACUUAGCGGCGGACGGGUGAGUAAUGCUUAGGAAUCUGCCUAUUAGUGGGGGACAACAUCUCGAAAGGGAUGCUAAUACCGCAUACGUCCUACGGGAGAAAGCAGGGGAUCACUUGUGCCCUUGCGCUAAUAGAUGAGCCUAAGUCGGAUUAGCUAGUUGGUGGGGUAAAGGCCUACCAAGGCGACGACCUGUAGCGGGUCUGAGAGGAUGAUCCGCCACACUGGGACUGAGACACGGCCCAGACUCCUACGGGAGGCAGCAGUGGGGAAUAUUGGACAAUGGGGGGAACCCUGAUCCAGCCAUGCCGCGUGUGUGAAGAAGGCCUUAUGGUUGUAAAGCACUUUAAGCGAGGAGGAGGCUCUUUUGGUUAAUACCCAAGAUGAGUGGACGUUACUCGCAGAAUAAGCACCGGCUAACUCUGUGCCAGCCGCCGCGGUAA